GACAUGACGUGUGGCUGUCGUAAAAACCCUAUUUGUAAACAACCAGUCCUUUAACUCGGGGCUGCGUCAUAAACACGGAGCGCUUGGAAGACCACGAUGUCAUCUUCCUUCUGUCAGGAGGAUCAAAGUGAAGCUACAGGAGUUUCAUUAACGUCAACAACUUGGACCAAACAGUUUGUUUUGCUUGAUGAAGAGCAGGAAGGGCAGCCUGGAGAGAAAGAGUAGCCGGGUUGAGCCCACUAACAUCAUCCACGUACCACGAGGAAGAUGAGGGUAAGAAAUGAUCCUACCAUUAAAGAGACUGUGAAAAGAACGUUGAGAACAUCACCACUCUACAGGAAGACACAGUCCAGUAAUGGGUGUCAGAAGUUCAGUAGUGAACGACAGAAACAAACAAUCCAAAUUACCUGCAGAACGCCCUUGAUGGACGCUUCAGCUGCAUCGUCAGACUGGCAGUACUGAUGCAUUUACUGAGAGGGGACGUGAGGGCCUACUCUGCGUGCUCAGAGUUCAAGCCCAGCAGGCUGCAGCGGGCCUGACAUAUUCUGGAACAGCAGCACAGUCUUUAGAUGACUCCUCUGAAGAUGAAAACAUGGCGAGUUCUCUCAAGAGAAGCAGUACAGGUGUGCCUCAGCUCCACGGUCCCUCCUGCAGCCUCCGCUCCUGAUGCUAACCUCAUGUCUCCAUCACACCAAGCAGCAGACCUGGAUUGACAGACCUUUCUCCAGAGCUGCCCCCUCCCUCUGAAACCCCCCUCUCCAAAACACUAUUUGUGUAGUUUUUAAAGUAUUUUUUGCAUGAGAAUUGUUGAUCAUAUCAUUUCCAGCAGAUGCCUUAAUAUAAUGUUUGUGCACAAUAAAUGACAUUGUUCAUAA
This is a long non-coding RNA of Pleuronectes platessa (European plaice), 875 nucleotides long. RefSeq lists it as uncharacterized. Lineage: Eukaryota; Metazoa; Chordata; Actinopteri; Pleuronectiformes; Pleuronectidae. The record is from RefSeq and is a predicted model, not a curated record. The transcript has 6 exons.